Long non-coding RNA from Oryctolagus cuniculus (rabbit), 1102 nucleotides. RefSeq lists it as uncharacterized. Lineage: Eukaryota; Metazoa; Chordata; Mammalia; Lagomorpha; Leporidae. The record is from RefSeq and is a predicted model, not a curated record.
CUGCCCCCGGGCGGAGAAAGGGGCCAGGUGACCCAGCCCCGCCUAUCCUCCAAGAGCUUCUUCUGGCCCAGGUGUAGUGGGUCUCCUGAACCUGGCUCCCAAGGCCAAGGCCACCCUCUGCCCGGCCCUCUAUGCUUCUCCAGCCUCAUCAGCCCCUCCUGGGGGACUCCGGGUCGACACGCUCAGUGACUUGCAGUUCCCGGCCUGCCAGGCUGCCAUCAUUCUGGCCGCAGACACGAAGACAUGUCUCUCCUUGAGAGCUCAUCAGGUCUCAUCCUGGCAGUCACUUGCACCUCCAAAUGCCAGAGUCGCUGGCUGGCUGGGAUCCCCCCCUCCCCCGUGUUGGAGGCACUUCUGCGAGUACCUGCCAGCUGCCCCUCCAAAACUGAGCUCCCCAGGCAGGGCCUGGGUCCGCUUAUGGCUGCCGGAGUACCCUCCACCCCUCCCAACACCACUCUGUGACACAGCCUAGGUACCCGGUUUAUUUUGCAUUGUAUGGAUGGGUAGAAGAGGGUGCAUCUUUGAGUCAAAUCUGGCUGGCUGUUAGGAGUUUCCAGGCAUCUGAGCCCUGAGGGGGUUAGGGGACAGCAGGAUUUGCAAGCUGAGGGACAACUCUGAGCAGGAAGGGCCUGCAGACAGAACCCAGUGCUGCCCAGAGUGGCAACAGGUGGGUGGGGCUGCACCAGUGCCACAGAACAGGCUGUGACUGAUCCCUCAACCUUUAUUACCCUGGGUGUGCGUGGGCUGUGGGAGCCCAGCUCCUGUCCCCAGGGCACCUUAAAGGAACUUCAGGAUCUGCAACUCCAAGUUCAAAGGGAAAUAAUUGUCCAGUCGGAGGGGUUCAGCUGUCUUGGUGCAUGCUUGCCCCACAGCUGCCUCUCACUCCGCCUGGGGCCCUCAUCCAUAGAUCCUGCUCCUCGUCUCAUUCCGGGUGCAAGAGCCAGGAGGUGAGAGCAAUGUGCAGUCCAGAACCAGGAAGUGUGGACUUUCCACCCCGCAUUAGCCCUUCCCUAGGGCUGGUAACCUACCUAAUUUCUUCCCACUGGCUUCUUGCCAUGAGUUGUACAUGGAUUUAAUAAACCAUGUUAUGGAAGCAUGUUAA